RNAcentral lists this long non-coding RNA (551 nucleotides) under Daucus carota (carrot). Its description in RNAcentral is "long non-coding RNA (DCAR_LNC001420)". Lineage: Eukaryota; Viridiplantae; Streptophyta; Magnoliopsida; Apiales; Apiaceae. The record is from RNAcentral.
UUUUUGUGGAAGACAAUUAUUAGUUCUCUACGCUCCAAGGAAAAAAUUGUCUUGGCCGUCGCAUCAUCGGGUAUUGCAUCCCUCCUUAUAGAAGGUGGAAGAACUGCUCAUUCAAGAUUUAAAAUUCCAUUAAACAUUUACGAAAAUAGCACAUGUGGGAUAAAGCAACAUUCUUACUUGGCAGAGUUGAUAUCUCAGACGGAUUUAGUUGUGUGGGAUGAGGCACCUAUGAACCAUAAACAUAUAUUCGAGGCAGUUGAUCGUUCAUUCCGUGACAUAAUGCGACUUAAAGACCCCAGUAAUCUAGAAAAACCAUUUGGUGGAAAGACAGUUCUUCUUGGGGGAGAUUUCAGGCAAAUCUUACCUGUUUUACCCAAGAAAGGACGAGCAGAUAUUGUCAUGUCAUCCAUCAGUAAAUCUUACCUAUGGAAACAAUGUAAAGUUUUUAAACUGGAUCAAAAUAUGAGAAUAGAAGCAAAUGUACCACCAGUAACAGUUGGAGGGAUCUCAAUUCCAUACAUGGAAUGGAUAAUUAAGGUUGGUGAUGGUAC